RNAcentral lists this transfer RNA (71 nucleotides) under Urosaurus nigricauda. Its description in RNAcentral is "tRNA-Thr". It matches the Rfam family "tRNA". Rfam says of the family: Transfer RNA (tRNA) molecules are approximately 80 nucleotides in length. Their secondary structure includes four short double-helical elements and three loops (D, anti-codon, and T loops). The record is from RNAcentral. Lineage: Eukaryota; Metazoa; Chordata; Lepidosauria; Squamata; Phrynosomatidae.
GCCUCUGUAGCUAAAACUUUAAAGCAUUGGUCUUGUAAACCAAAGAUGGACACCAAAAUGUCCCUGAGACA